Molecule: ribosomal RNA, 368 nt
Filed under: uncultured Pseudomonas sp.
Lineage: Bacteria; Pseudomonadati; Pseudomonadota; Gammaproteobacteria; Pseudomonadales; Pseudomonadaceae
Description: bacterial SSU rRNA
Rfam family: Bacterial small subunit ribosomal RNA
Source: RNAcentral
ACUUCUUCGGACAAUAUACAAGGUGCUGCAUGGUUGUCGUCAGCUCGUGCCGUGAGAUGUUGGGUUUAAGUCCCGUAACGAGCGCAACCCUUGUCCUUAGUUACCAGCACGUUAUGGUGGGCACUCUAAGGAGACUGCCGGUGACAAACCGGAGGAAGGUGGGGAUGACGUCAAGUCAUCAUGGCCCUUACGGCCUGGGCUACACACGUGCUACAAUGGUCGGUACAAAGGGUUGCCAAGCCGCGAGGUGGAGCUAAUCCCAUAAAACCGAUCGUAGUCCGGAUCGCAGUCUGCAACUCGACUGCGUGAAGUCGGAAUCGCUAGUAAUCGUGAAUCAGAAUGUCACGGUGAAUACGUUCCCGGGCCUU